GUUAAGAUUGAUUCGUGCUAUCUGGAGUGCGUUAUUUGCCACGAGCCCAUUGGCCCUCCUCUCAUACAGGUUCUUAAAUUCUUACAGAUCUUUAUUGUUAUUGAUGGAUUCUUAUGUUAUGCUGAUUGAACUGUCUGUUUCAUGGUAGAGCGGAGCUCCAAAGGGCUUGAGGCAAAUAAAGCACUCCAGAUAGUGCAAAUCAAUCUUAACGCCUCGUUGCUGGAUCUACCCUUCCGAACGACCAUCCCCCUCGUCGCAGUCUCCUUCGGCAGUCUCCUCCUCGCAGUCUCCUCCUCGCAAUCUCCUUUUCGCAGUCUCCUGCGGAAGUCUCCCCUGGCAUAUACCUGUUACCUUAGGCUAUAUGCGCGUGGAAUUGCAGACAAGCUUCGAUGAUUACAUAUUUCUGUUAAAUAAUUAUAUUAUGUUCAGUUUGUUAUAGUUGAUGUAAUAGAAGGUUGCAUUGUAGGCAAAUCCUUUUUGUAUUUUGCAAACUUCUAUAAAAUCGUGUACUCGGCUUUAAAGAAAAUGUAAUU
This 533-nucleotide long non-coding RNA is filed under the name Ananas comosus (pineapple). RNAcentral's name for it is "long non-coding RNA (ACOM_LNC026054)". The record is from RNAcentral. Lineage: Eukaryota; Viridiplantae; Streptophyta; Magnoliopsida; Poales; Bromeliaceae.